GACGAACGCUGGCGGCGUGCCUAACACAUGCAAGUCGAGCGAAGAACUUCGGUUCUUAGCGGCGGACGGGUGAGUAACACGUGGGUAACCUGCCUCAGAGAGGGGGAUGGCCUCCCGAAAGGGAGAUUAAUACCGCAUAAUAUUAGAUCUUCACAUGGAGAUUUAAUUAAAGGAGCAAUCCGCUUUGAGAUGGACCCGCGGCGCAUUAGCUAGUUGGUGAGGUAACGGCUCAUCAAGGCGACGAUGCGUAGCCGACCUGAGAGGGUGAGCGGCCACAUUGGGACUGAGACACGGUCCAGACUCCUACGGGAGGCAGCAGUGGGGAAUAUUGCACAAUGGGCGAAAGCCUGAUGCAGCAACGCCGCGUGAGUGAUGAAGGCCUUCGGGUUGUAAAACUCUGUCUUUGGGGACGAUAAUGACGGUACCCAAGGAGGAAGCCACGGCUAACUACGUGCCAGCCGCCGCAGUAA
Molecule: ribosomal RNA, 470 nt
Filed under: uncultured bacterium
Lineage: Bacteria
Description: partial 16S ribosomal RNA
Rfam family: Bacterial small subunit ribosomal RNA
Source: RNAcentral